This 516-nucleotide ribosomal RNA is filed under the name uncultured bacterium. RNAcentral's name for it is "bacterial SSU rRNA". It matches the Rfam family "Bacterial small subunit ribosomal RNA", at positions 9 to 526 of the family's 1533-position model. The record is from RNAcentral.
GAGUUUGAUCCUGGCUCAGGAUGAACGCUGGCGGCGUGCUUAACACAUGCAAGUCGAACGGGAAUUACUUUAUUGAAACUUCGGUCGAUAUGAUUUAAUUCUAGUGGCGGACGGGUGAGUAACGCGUGGGUAACCUGCCUUAUACAGGGGGAUAACAGUCAGAAAUGACUGCUAAUACCGCAUAAGCGCACAGGACCGCAUGGUCCGGUGUGAAAAACCCCGGUGGUAUAAGAUGGACCCGCGUUGGAUUAGCUAGUUGGUGAGGUAACGGCCCACCAAGGCGACGAUCCAUAGCCGGCCUGAGAGGGUGAACGGCCACAUUGGGACUGAGACACGGCCCAGACUCCUACGGGAGGCAGCAGUGGGGAAUAUUGCACAAUGGGGGAAACCCUGAUGCAGCGACGCCGCGUGAAGGAAGAAGUAUCUCGGUAUGUAAACUUCUAUCAGCAGGGAAGAAAAUGACGGUACCUGACUAAGAAGCCCCGGCUAACUACGUGCCAGCCGCCGCGGUAAUUC